GAGCACGUAGGUGGGUUUGUAAGUCAGAUGUGAAAGCCUUCUGUUCAACGGAAGAAUUGCUUCUGAAACUGCAAACCUUGAGUAUAGGAGGGGAGAAUGGAACUUCUGGUGGAGCGGUGAGAUGCGUAGAUAUCAGAAGGAACGCCGGCGGCGAAAGCGAUUCUCUGGCCUAUGUCUGACACUCAGUGUGCGAAAGCUAGGGGAGCAAACGGGAUUAGAUACCCCGGUAGUCCUAGCCGUAAACGAUGGGCACUAAGUAGAGGGGUUUU
RNAcentral lists this ribosomal RNA (269 nucleotides) under uncultured bacterium. Its description in RNAcentral is "partial 16S ribosomal RNA". It matches the Rfam family "Bacterial small subunit ribosomal RNA", at positions 565 to 832 of the family's 1533-position model. The record is from RNAcentral.